This 497-nucleotide ribosomal RNA is filed under the name uncultured bacterium. Its description in RNAcentral is "partial 16S ribosomal RNA". It matches the Rfam family "Bacterial small subunit ribosomal RNA", at positions 28 to 507 of the family's 1533-position model. The record is from RNAcentral.
GAUGAACGCUGGCGGCGUGCCUAAUACAUGCAAGUCGAGCGAACAGACGAGGAGCUUGCUCCUCUGACGUUAGCGGCGGACGGGUGAGUAACACGUGGAUAACCUACCUAUAAGACUAGGAUAACUUCGGGAAACCGGAGCUAAUACCGGAUAAUAUAUUGAACCGCAUGGUUCAAUAGUGAAGGACGGUUUUGCUGUCACUUAUAGAUGGAUCCGCGCCGCAUUAGCUAGUUGGUAAGGUAACGGCUUACCAAGGCGACGAUGCGUAGCCGACCUGAGAGGGUGAUCGGCCACACUGGAACUGAGACACGGUCCAGACUCCUACGGGAGGCAGCAGUAGGGAAUCUUCCGCAAUGGGCGAAAGCCUGACGGAGCAACGCCGCGUGAGUGAUGAAGGUCUUCGGAUCGUAAAACUCUGUUAUUAGGGAAGAACAAAUGUGUAAGUAACUAUGCACGUCUUGACGGUACCUAAUCAGAAAGCCACGGCUAACUACGUG